Molecule: ribosomal RNA, 498 nt
Filed under: uncultured bacterium
Lineage: Bacteria
Description: partial 16S ribosomal RNA
Rfam family: Bacterial small subunit ribosomal RNA
Source: RNAcentral
GAUGAACGCUAGCGGCAGGCCUAAUACAUGCAAGUCGAACGAUACCAGAGAGCUUGCUUUCUGGGAAAGUGGCGCACGGGUGCGUAACGCGUAUGUAACCUACCUUAAUCAGGGGGACAGCCUCUCGAAAGAGAGAUUAACACCGCAUAACAUUAUGAUAUGGCAUCAUAUUAUAAUCAAAUAUUUAUAGGAUUAAGAUGGGCAUGCGUGACAUUAGCUAGUUGGUGAGGUAACGGCUCACCAAGGCUACGAUGUCUAGGGGAUCUGAGAGGAUGACCCCCCACACUGGUACUGAGACACGGACCAGACUCCUACGGGAGGCAGCAGUAAGGAAUAUUGGUCAAUGGAGGCAACUCUGAACCAGCCAUGCCGCGUGCAGGAAGACGGCCCUAUGGGUUGUAAACUGCUUUUAUACGGGAAUAAACCUCUGUACGUGUAGGGAGUUGAAUGUACUGUAAGAAUAAGGAUCGGCUAACUCCGUGCCAGCCGCCGCCGUAA